Molecule: long non-coding RNA, 3104 nt
Organism: Acinonyx jubatus (cheetah)
Lineage: Eukaryota; Metazoa; Chordata; Mammalia; Carnivora; Felidae
Exons: 3
Source: RefSeq, a predicted model, not a curated record
ACAUCACUGAAAGAGAGCAGCCCACGUCAGCCACAACGGGGCGGGACACGUGGCCUGUGUGUGGCAGCCUCACCGGCCAGUGGCAAGACAGCCGGCCACCCAGGCCCCUGCUCCUCACCCGCCGUCCCCCGCUCCAGCUGCUGACUGAGGAGUACAGGGCGUGUCAAGAACGGAGGGAGCACAGACCCCCACCCCCUCCAAUGCCUGCCAUUUACAAGCAAGACCCUCUGGGAUCUCCAGACAGUGCCUCUGGGACAGAAGUUCAGUCAGAGGGCCUGCCACAGAGCAGCGUCUCCAAGGGUCGAGAUUUGGGUGUGGGUUUGGUCGGGAGACCCAAGUUUCAAAUGUGCCUUGCAUCAUUCCCCUUUUAUGACCUCGGAGUUCCAGGAAGUUCCAGACCAGGGGGAGAAACUGGGUCGACACUGGCACUGUCCACUGCAAGUGCCCCAGGCCAUAUCCUGCACGCUCUGCCUGACACUGAAGCAAGGGAUAUGCUGGAGGCCAGCGUCCCACGAGUUGUCCUCAGGAGGGAAUGAGAAGCACGUCCCAUGGUCAACAGUGACAAACAUACCAGCAAUUCUGGAUGUGAUAUAAGAUAUGUCCAAGUCUCCCUUUGCGUAACUGGAAUUAGAAAGAAGAGCGCUUGGUUAAUCCCAGAAAUUUCUACAGUUAAGUCACAAGAGCUUAAACUGGAGCAGGUCCUGGAGAGGUUGGGGGGAUCUCGCCGCUCAGGCCGCAGCUCACGGGAAACGUUGUGUGCGCAUGUGUGUAUGUAUACGUGUGAGCGUGUUCCAGCCAUGUGCAUGCAGCUGACGUCUAAGAGACGGAGAGGCAGAGAGCCGGUAGAAACCUACUGCGCUUCUAUUCUGAAGAGGCGUGACUGCAGGGGCUGGCUUUGAAAGGAGACAGUAACAAAAACGGAAGAGAGUUUUUUUGGCCCAGCACAUCAUGUCUGGCUCACAAGAAAAAGUUACAAGGCCCACCAAAUGGCAAAAACACAGUUUCAAGAGACAGAGAAAACAUCAGAACCAGACAUGGCAGGGACGCUGGAACUGUCAGACCAGGAACUUAACCAACUGUGACUAAUAUGCUAAGGGCUCUAACUGAUAAAGUAGACAGCACGUAAGAACAGAGAUAAAAAUUCUAAGAAAGAACAAAAAGAAAUGCCGGAGACACAAAACUCGGUGGCAGAAAUAACACAGGCCUUUGAUGGGCUGAUUAGGCUGAACAUGGCCGAGGAAAAAGUCUCUGAGCUAGAGGAUCUAUCAAUAGAAUCCUUAAAAAAUGAAAAGCAAAGAGAACAAAGACUGAAAAAACCCAGAACAAAAUCACCGGCAACGCGGAACCACAAAAGGUGUAUCGUACGUUUAACAGGAACACCAGAAGGAGAAAAGAAAGCAGGUACAGAAGAAAGGUCUGAAACAACAAGGACUGAGCAUUCCCCUCAAAUCAUGUCAGACGCGAAACCACGAUCCAGGAAGCUCAGAGGACACCAGGCAGGAUAAAUACCGAGUCGCCUACACUCAGGCAUCUCAUCUUCAAACUGCAGAAAACCAAAGGAAACAAACGUGCAAAGGGGACAGAGGGACAAAGCACGUUACCUGCACAGAAACAAAGACAGGAAGUGCACCUGUCCGCUCUCCAGAAGCCACGUGAGCAAGGACACAGUGACAUAUUUAGUAUUGAGAGAGACACCCACCAGCCCAGAACUCCAUCCCCUGGGAGUCACCCUCCAGAGGUGACCCAAACACUGGGAGAAAGUGCUGCCAGGAGACCUGCCUGGAAGGAAAUGCUCUUCAGAGAGAAGGAGAAUGAUUCGGUCGGAAACGGGGUCUACACAAAAGAACAAAAGAACUCCAAAGAAGUGACAGUGAAACGAACACUUUCAUGUUUGUUGCUCUUGAUGGAGUCAGGAGAAAACUGCUUGUUCGAACUCGCCACGGCAACGACAUGCCCACCUGUGCACUUGCCGCACCGACGACUCGCAUACUCGCGUGCGUCUGUGCGGGUAAAGCGAAUGCUAGCACGAGCACAGCGAUGGGGCGCAGUGCCAUCGUGGGGUGACAGAGGGUUGGGGCUGCCUGUGUAGACGUGGGUCAGCUGUAAACAUGUACUGCAAACUCCAGAGCAACUAGUAAAAAAGCUGUUACUUUUUUUAAAAAUAAGGAUAACUGAUAUGAUAAGAAAGGAGAGAGAAAGGGACCCUAUGAAAUGCCCAGUUAAAGCCACAGAAGGCCGGGCAACGAGCAGGAAAUGGAGCAGACAUGGUAGGCGCCCACCCAGGACACCAAGAAUCCAUGUGACUAUCAGUCAGAAGACACAGACGGUCACAGUGGACCAGACAAGGCUCAUAGUCCGGAGGCUGGUGUGUGCUCAGCGAAGGGUGCCCAAGAGCAGCCGCAACCCACACCCUGGGUGACAACGCUUCACCUGUGCUACAGCGGCUCCGGUGGGGAAUCAAGCACCUCCCACGUGACGCCACGGCCGAGGACUCGGGAAGCCCCGCCUGUUCCCUCACACUUUAUGCCGGGAGCCUUUUCCCAGCGCUGAUCCGCUGACCCGCGUCCUAUCUCUGAGGAAAAUCCCAGCUAAACCUUUGAUCCCGAGGACACCGGGCGAUACCCUGUUUCAUCCUCGUCCGCGCUCCGAUCUCACCAUCGCACCGGGAUGACCCCGAGCAGCCUCCCAGACUGGUGCGCCCGCGCCCCGAGGCACAUCCGCUAACAUCCCCAGGCCGCCAUCCCGAGGCACAGACCGCAUUCUGCUUGUGCCGCCCGUCGGAGGUGCGCUCUUAGGGUUAUUACUUUUUGUUAAUAUUCCACUUGAGGGUGUAAGAUAGCUGCACAAACCCAGAGUCAGUCGCAACAGCAGCUAAAUCCAGAAGCGAACCACCACCACCUCUAAACUGACACGCAACGGGGGCCCCUGGGGUGCAGCCGGUGGAGCGUGCGACUCUCGAUUUCAGCUCAAGUCGUGAUCGCACGGUUCGUGAGUUCAAGCCCCAUGUGGGCCGAUAGCAGGGAGCCUGCCUGGGCUUCUCUCCCUCUCUGCCCCUCCCCUGCUCACACGCUUACUCUCAAAAUUAAAAAAUGUUAAAAGAAAAA